This 72-nucleotide transfer RNA is filed under the name Bacteroidales bacterium. Its description in RNAcentral is "tRNA-OTHER". Lineage: Bacteria; Pseudomonadati; Bacteroidota; Bacteroidia; Bacteroidales. The record is from RNAcentral.
UCGGCAGCGAUGGGCAAUCGAACCUUGCCCGUACGAAAUGGAAAAAUGGGGGUUCGAGUCCCCCCUGCCGAA